This is an RNA transcript of Carassius auratus (goldfish), 3367 nucleotides long. RefSeq lists it as uncharacterized. The record is from RefSeq and is a predicted model, not a curated record. The transcript has 7 exons. NCBI's taxonomy places the organism in Eukaryota, Metazoa, Chordata, Actinopteri, Cypriniformes, Cyprinidae.
UGUAAACACAUUAUAAAUGUUAGAAAGUAUAGGUUUUCACCAUUGCUGUGUUCAGGAUUUUUUUUUUGGGCGGAGCUAAAACGGUGGCUCGAUGACGCACUGGAGCCACUGAGCUCCUGGCCCCUCCCCAAACAACAUAACCAAAGCACACAUUCGCGUCAGUUCGCCGUUCAAUCGCGAGUUUCUGUGGACUACCAUCGUUUAAAUACCUUGACCGGAGCAUAACUGGUUAACUUCACACAAGAGACCUACUGUUGGACAAUCGUUUUGGCUUUAAAGCACAGAAGAUAGUGAGGAGGAAGAGGAUUGCCUAAGGACACAAUUGGCAGGGUGGGCUAUUGACAACAUGAUCCCCCAUGUGGCACUGGGUAAGCUUUUAACCAUUUUGUCCAAGGAUCAUCCAACCCUUCCUAAAGACCCAAGAACCCUUCUGAAAACAGUGACUUGUGUUAAAACAACAGAACUCUCAGGUGGUGUAUACCAUCACUCUGGAAUUGAAAGUGGAAUACUAUCGCAGUUUUUAGUGUCUCCUGAAUUGCAGAAGUUGACGUCAGUUUCAAUGCAAGUUAAUGUUGAUGGACUUCCACUUUUCAAAAGCUCAAAUGCCCAGUUCUGGCCAGUUCUUGGUUUAAUUGAGCAAUACGUGUGUAAUGUCCAACAAAACAAACUUCCAUUUGUCAUUGGUCUCUAUUAUGGGAAGAAGAAGCCAAGCAGCCUUCACUUUUUGAAUCCUUUUGUAGAAGAGGCACAGCGACUUGAAGCGGAAGGAGUUCUGUUUGAAAGGAGAGCACUUCCUUUCAAAAUAUCAACAUUUAUCUGUGACGCCCCUGCUCGUGCACUUGUUCGAAAUGUGAAAGGUCACAGUGGAUAUUAUGGGUGUGACAAGUGUGUUCAAAAGGGGGUCCACUACGAGAACAGGAUGACCUUUCCUCAAACAGAUUCUGCUCCAAGAUUAGACCAUGCAGUCCGUGAUGAACUUUCUGAUGACAGUCAUCAGUGUGGAGAAACGCCAUUGGCAUUGUUGUCUGUUGGUUUGGUCACCCAGUUCCCACUGGAUUAUAUGCAUCUGGUAUGCCUUGGAGUGACAAGAAAGUUGUUGCAUCUUUGGCUAAAGGGACGGCGGCUGACAAGAUUUUCGCCCAGCAUGGUAAAAGAGCUCUCCAGAGUACUCCUGACCUUCACACCUCAUGUUCCGUGCGAGUUCAACAGGAAGCAACGAUCCAUGGAAGAUGUUGAGCGUUGGAAAGCUACAGAAUUCAGGCAGUUCCUCUUGUACACUGGACCAGUCAGCUUAAAAGGCCUUGUACCAACUCAAGUGUACAACAACUUCAUGCUGCUUUCAGUUGGCAUCACCAUCCUACUGAAUGUGUCCCUGUGUGCUGACCUUGCAGACUAUGCACACAGAAUAUUGGUUCUCUUUGUUGAUCACUGCAGCAAGCUUUAUGGAAAAGAACAUGUGACAUACAACAUGCAUGGAUUGGUGCACCUGAGCCAAGAUGCCAAAAAGUAUGGCGUCCUUGAUAACAUAUCAUGCUUCCCAUUUGAAAACUUCCUUGGGUGUCUGAAGAAACUGUUGCGCAAGCCUGCACAACCACUGGAGCAGGUUGUUCGCCGAUUGUCAGAGAGAAGUCAGCACAGAAGAACAAACAUCUCCAAAACAAGGUCCUUGAGAGAGCACAACCAUGGACCACUUCUCAACGGUCUUUCUGUGAAAAAGCAGUAUGAGGAGUGUUACUUUCAAGACUUUGUUGUGAAACGUUCAGAGGGAGACAACUGUGUCCUGUUGGAAAAUAAAGACAUAGUUGUUAUACAGAAUGUCGUCGUUGAUGAAAUGGACAACACUUUGCUCAUCUACAAGAGGUUCCGGAACAUGGUCGAUUUCUUCACUUACCCUGUGGAAUCUUCCAAGCUAGGCAUUUUUCAUUUAUCUGGCCUGUCAGAAACACUCCGCUUUACCCAUAUAGCAAAUGUGCAGAAGAAAUAUUAUCUUCUUCCUUGCCUGGAUGGAAAGGCUGGUUUUCCGUUGAUCCACUUGUAAAAAUGACUGCUUUUUUUGAAGGGAUGCUGUUUGCCAUUGUUCAGUUUAUUGAUGAGGAGGAUCAGCCAUUUGCAGUGGUUCCGCAAGUGUGGCUCAGCGAGGGCAUGUGCUAUUGGCCCCCAUUUAACCUCCGCAAAAAAGACAAAGGCAACAAUUUAGCCAUCCGCUGCACGCCUCCACACAGCACCUGGGAGAAACAUCAUUUUAAGUUUAUGAAGGGAGCAGAAUGUUGGCAAGAGGCGAUGAGAAAGUUGGGACAAUGUUGAAGACGUUUGCUCGCACUGGGCAAUCAGCUUCGGUUUUUGGCAAUCAAAUGUGGGAGGGACCUAAAGACAACCGUCUGGCGGAUGCUUCAAAGUAUCUUCUCUAAUCACCUUUCCAUCAAUACAACCUGGACUGGAGUUGGGGAUAAAGCAUGUUUUAGAGACAUGUUCCUGAAGACCAUUGUUCAAAGAGCCAUCCGGAAGAACCCGGCAACACAGGAUGCCACUGAUGAAGCCAUCCAGGUUAACGUUACGCGUUACCUGAAAGGAGCAUCUGACCGUGAAGGCGGAAAAAGGCGCCGCACAGCUGAGAGGGACCCACAGCCGACCCCUUAAACCUAGGCUGACUACUGACAUCCCAGCAUCACUGACAACUGGAACCCUUUCUUUAUCCUGCAGUCAAUAACAUCAAGACCCCUAAAGAAGCCAGAAGUGUCAGUCUGCACUCCCCAAUCCACACUGUUCACUGUGGAUAUUAUCAUAGUGCUUAACUUAUUAUAUUGUUAAAUAUAGCUUGUAAAUCCUUGUGCCACAGGUCAGCAUUGCAGUUAUAUCUGUUCUACUACUUUUUUUACCUCAGUAUUUUUUAUAUAUAUUUGAAGAUGUUUAUCACAGAUACAAGAGACAUCUUGUACCCCAGGUCAGCAAUGCCAUUAUAAUGGUCUAUUCUACUCCAGAGCUUUAUUCUAAAUUAUUACCACUUAUCUUAUUGUUAGAAAUGGCUUGUAAAUGUGAUGUUAUACCUGAAUUUUUUUUGGUGUCCUGCACAUUCUUUGGUACCAGAUAUACUCAUUACUUAUGUUUACUGGUAAUUCUUUUCAUGCCAGAGCUGACCUCUUUAUAUUAUUAACAAUUAUUGUAAGUGUUAUAAUUUGCUUGUAAGCUAAGGCUGUUUUUUUUUUUUUUUAACAAUUUAAUUGGAAACCUGCGUGUGUGUGUGUGUGUGUGUGUAUUUAUUUUAUUUUUUUUCUCUUUUUUUCUGUUAUUUAUAUUUCAGGGAUCUGACAUCAUGUUUCAAUGACAGUUACUGUACUUUGAAAUGUGGAAUUAAAACGUCAAAUGGAAA